AGAGUUCGAUUAUGGCUCAGGAUGAACGCUGGCGGCGUGCUUAACACAUGCAAGUCGAACGGGAUCCCAGGAGCUUGCUCCUGGGUGAGAGUGGCGAACGGGUGAGUAAUGCGUGACCGACCUGCCCCAUACACCGGAAUAGCUCCUGGAAACGGGUGGUAAUGCCGGAUGCUCCGACAUGACGCAUGUCGUGUCGGGAAAGAUUCAUCGGUAUGGGAUGGGGUCGCGUCCUAUCAGCUUGAUGGCGGGGUAACGGCCCACCAUGGCUUCGACGGGUAGCCGGCCUGAGAGGGCGACCGGCCACAUUGGGACUGAGAUACGGCCCAG
RNAcentral lists this ribosomal RNA (327 nucleotides) under uncultured bacterium. RNAcentral's name for it is "bacterial SSU rRNA". It matches the Rfam family "Bacterial small subunit ribosomal RNA", at positions 8 to 334 of the family's 1533-position model. The record is from RNAcentral.